Molecule: non-coding RNA, 1437 nt
Organism: Camellia sinensis
Lineage: Eukaryota; Viridiplantae; Streptophyta; Magnoliopsida; Ericales; Theaceae
Source: RefSeq, a predicted model, not a curated record
UCUCUUUUCUAUCCUAGGUCACCAACCAUACCCAAACAUACCGCAAGUGUGUGGAAUGAGAAAGAAUGUACCGAAGAUAACCGUGGUGUGUGGAAAUAGAAUUUCCUCCCUCUAGCGCAUGAAAUCUCCAAUUUACCGUGCUGUGCAAGUGGAAUUACAGUUGAACCAGAGAUUGUUCUUCACCGUCUCAAGAAAGCAACGGUGGUAUUUGUUCUCUUGUUCACUUGUUGGCAAUGGCGGUGGCCCCAUGUACUGCAAAACGGAAGCGGUGCAGCAGUAGCGUAGAUCAUUAUAUAUGCAUUAUUGUGUCAUCUUAAAUUUACCCCUCGGCAGCAAAUCAAAUAACCUAGCCACCUUCAAGAUAACACUGAACGUGCCAUCCGAGUUGACUGAAUUGUCUAAUAUGCCAGUAGUUCAUGAAAAGCUUAACGGGCAUCUAAAAACAGUAAAUUUCGAAGAAUCACCAAUUAUGUCAAUUUAUUUGGUGGAUGUUGUGAUUGGUUUAUUUGAUCAUAUAGAAGAAACAACGACCGAUGCUUGCAAUUGUGGUGACACAUGAAGUUGCACAUCAAUGGUUUGGCAACCUGGUAACAAUGGAAUGGUGGACUCAUUUAUGGCUUAAUGAAGGUUUUGCAACAUGGGUAAGUUAUUUAGUUACUGACACCUUAUUUCUUGAGUGGGAAAUCUGGACUAAAUUUCUUGAAGACACUGCUGGGGUUUACAUUUGGGUGCACUGGAAACCUCACACCCAAUUGAGGUAAAAACAGGUUUGAAGGUGUAUGCAUUACGUGUUUGUGAUUUACAAUGAGUCAAUGGCAUCCUUUAUAUGGUUAUAAUUACAAAAUUUAUUUUGAGAAAUAGCUUUUCCAUCAACAAUUUUGAUGCCUGUUAUACUGACUUCAAAGCAACAUUACCAAGCUGAUCCAUAAUGAUGCCACCACCACUUCUGAGUGCAUGCGCAUAUGCGUGUGAUUGUGAAUAAGCAUGAUGCAGAGCCCACACGUGCUCACUUGUGCCAAUUUGAGUGAUAGAAACAAGCUGUAGGUCCACCUUAUUUGACAACUUCACAAACAAUAUGAUACCCUAAUAUUGGAGCUAUUUACUUCAACAGGUAUUGCUGUUUGAAAGUGCACCAUGAAAUCCAGUUUUGUCCAUUUGACGUUGGCAAGCAUAUAUUUGGAGGUUGAGAUACAUCAUGCUCGUUCAAUUGAUGAAGUUUCUGAUGAUAAAACCUAUACAAAGGGGUGUGCUAUUAUUCCAAUGUUAGGACUAUCUUGCUGAUGACAUUUUUCAGGUAAGAAUGUUCCAUUUAUAAAGAUAUUGUUUAGUAGUCAAUCAUAUAAAUUACUUAUUCAUACUAUUUAAUCUGUUUAUGUAUAAUAGUCAAAUGCCAUUUGCAAUUUAUCAUGAACCUUUAAUUGCCUAUUAAACUUAAAA